This 497-nucleotide ribosomal RNA is filed under the name uncultured bacterium. RNAcentral's name for it is "partial 16S ribosomal RNA". It matches the Rfam family "Bacterial small subunit ribosomal RNA", at positions 28 to 507 of the family's 1533-position model. The record is from RNAcentral.
GAUGAACGCUGGCGGCGUGCCUAAUACAUGCAAGUCGAGCGAACAGACGAGGCGCUUGCUCCUCUGACGUUAGCGGCGGACGGGUGAGUAACACGUGGAUAACCUACCUAUAAGACUGAGAUCACUUCGGGAAACCGGAGCUAAUCCCGUAUAAUCUAUUGAACCGCAUGGUUCAAUAGUGAAAGACGGUUUUGCUGUCACUUAUAGAUGGAUCUGCGCCGCAUUGGCUAGUUGGUAAGGUAAAGGCUUACCAAGGCUACGAUGCGUAGCCGACGUGUGAGGGUGAUCGGCCACACUGGAACUGAGACACGGUCCAGACGCCUACGGGAGGCAGCAGUAGGGAAUCUGCCGCAAUGGGCGAAAGCCUGACGGAGCAACGCCGCGUGAGUGAUGAAGGUCUUCGGAUCGUAAAACUCUGUUAUUAGGGAAGAACAAAUGUGUAAGUAACUAUGCACGUCUUGACGGUACCUAAUCAGAAAGCCACGGCUAACUACGUG